Chinchilla lanigera (long-tailed chinchilla) is the source of this 942-nucleotide long non-coding RNA. RefSeq lists it as uncharacterized. Lineage: Eukaryota; Metazoa; Chordata; Mammalia; Rodentia; Chinchillidae. The record is from RefSeq and is a predicted model, not a curated record. The transcript has 4 exons.
GGCAAGAGGAGCAGGUCCAGAAGGAAACUUCUUGGAACUAAGUAGUUUCCAAGAAUUGCUUCCUUUAUUUCAAAACCUGUCUCGCUCCAGGUUUAAGUUACUGAAACAUACCUCUUUGCCUUUAAAGUUCACUAAGCAGCACCGGUACCUCUUUUAAGCUGACAGAUCUGGAAGUAAUCAUAACUGAUACCAACUGUCUGCCGAGCAUUCCGCUAAAUGGCAUAAAUGAAGAAAAAAUAAAGAAAAUCAUUUUCCUGAACAGAAUGUCUUUUUUUCCUAAAAGGCUGGUACAGCGAUGGAGUUAGGAACCAGAGAAAUCGCAGACUUCAUCGGUUGGGAGAAACUGCCAAGUUCUCCUUUGGCAGACCCACAGCCAACAGCAGGCAGAAGACAGGAGAUGAUACUUCUGACAAAAUGAGAACUCCGGGAGAGUCCUAGUGCUCUGGAAAGCUGGAGAGGGCGCGUGGCUGAAAACAAGAUGGAUUUGGUGUGUGGUUUUCUAAGUGAGAGAUGUGUAAUCAUGCACAGGCAGCCAAGGAGCCUCCCAGGCUGGGAGAAAAACCUGUUGAUUUGCUAAGAAUACAGGCAGCAAGAGCCCGCUGGGUGCUGUAAAGAUUUGUUUAAGCAUUGUGAACACAGCAACACACCAUGUCCGACCUGCUCUACUCCACCUCCCCGUACCAUGCUGCUCGGCCUGGAACUCCUGAGACGCCCCACACCAAACCCAUGAAAGUGCCUAGCACUCUCUGCAGGCGGUCCGCUGCUUCAGGACAUGUCACCAGGCAAAACACAGAAAGGAUAGCUACGAUCCUGUCUUUGCUACAAGCGCAUCAUUAACCUGUCUUAGCUUCCCAUGUGCGAAGCACUUAGUAGCAGUAGUACUGUUGACGCCUGUUGCUGUCUGAUGAAAUUAUAAUAGCACAUGUCUGAGACAGUCCCUGG